Molecule: microRNA precursor, 70 nt
Filed under: Bombyx mori (domestic silkworm)
Lineage: Eukaryota; Metazoa; Arthropoda; Insecta; Lepidoptera; Bombycidae
Description: mir-2774 microRNA precursor family
Rfam family: mir-2774 microRNA precursor family
Source: Rfam by way of RNAcentral
AAAAAAAUCGGACCGUCGAUCUACCGAGCAAUAAUAUCACCCGCUCGGUGGAAGAUCUUCCCUAUGUCGU